Molecule: non-coding RNA, 292 nt
Filed under: Phascolarctos cinereus (koala)
Lineage: Eukaryota; Metazoa; Chordata; Mammalia; Diprotodontia; Phascolarctidae
Source: RNAcentral
GCCUGGUGUGGGACUAUAUACCUGUAAUGCCUUCUACUAGGAAGCCAAGGCUAGUAGAUAUUCCUGAGCUCUGGACUUUUGAACUGCAGUAGGCUACGUAGAUGUCUGCACUAAACUCAACAUUAAUAUGGUGACUCCUUAGAAUGAGGAGAGCCAGGUUGCCUAAGGAGGUGUGAAUAGGACCUAGUCAAGGAACAGAGCAGGUCCAGGCACUCAUACUAAUCAGUAGUGGAAUUGAGCCCAUGAAUAGCUCCUACAUUUCCAGCCCGGAUGAGAUGUGGAGACUGUCUUA